RNAcentral lists this ribosomal RNA (557 nucleotides) under uncultured Exiguobacterium sp. RNAcentral's name for it is "bacterial SSU rRNA". It matches the Rfam family "Bacterial small subunit ribosomal RNA", at positions 318 to 859 of the family's 1533-position model. The record is from RNAcentral. Lineage: Bacteria; Bacillati; Bacillota; Bacilli; Caryophanales.
GUUUCGGUCAGUUCGUCCCCCUGCCCGCCUACGGGAGGCAGCAGUAGGGAAUCUUCCACAAUGGACGAAAGUCUGAUGGAGCAACGCCGCGUGAACGAUGAAGGCCCUCGGGUCGUAAAGUUCUGUUGUAAGGGAAGAACAAGUGCCGCAGGCAAUGGCGGCACCUUGACGGUACCUUGCGAGAAAGCCACGGCUAACUACGUGCCAGCAGCCGCGGUAAUACGUAGGUGGCAAGCGUUGUCCGGAAUUAUUGGGCGUAAAGCGCGCGCAGGCGGCCUCUUAAGUCUGAUGUGAAAGCCCCCGGCUCAACCGGGGAGGGCCAUUGGAAACUGGGAGGCUUGAGUAUAGGAGAGAAGAGUGGAAUUCCACGUGUAGCGGUGAAAUGCGUAGAGAUGUGGAGGAACACCAGUGGCGAAGGCGACUCUUUGGCCUAUAACUGACGCUGAGGCGCGAAAGCGUGGGGAGCAAACAGGAUUAGAUACCCUGGUAGUCCACGCCGUAAACGAUGAGUGCUAGGUGUUGGAGGGUUUCCGCCCUUCAGUGCUGAAGCUAACGCA